RNAcentral lists this ribosomal RNA (541 nucleotides) under uncultured archaeon. RNAcentral's name for it is "bacterial SSU rRNA". It matches the Rfam family "Archaeal small subunit ribosomal RNA", at positions 108 to 634 of the family's 1478-position model. The record is from RNAcentral.
UCUGCCCUCGAGACGGGGAUAAUCCCGGGAAACUGGGGAUCCUACCCGAUAGGUCUAGGAUGAUGGAAGGCUCCUAGGCCCAAAUCCUGCGGGGCUCGAGGAUGGGUCUGCGGCCUAUCAGGUAGUAGGGGGUUUCACGGACCCCCUAGCCGUAGACGGGUACGGGCUUUGGGAGAAGUCGCCCGGAGAUGGAUUCUGAGACACGAAUCCAGGUCCUACGGGACGCAGCANGCGCGAAACCUCCACAACGUGGGAAACCACGAUGGGGGAACUCCAAGUGUCCAGACUUAUGUCUGCACUGUUCUCGAGCCUAAAAAGCUCGAGAAGUAAGGAGCCGGGUAAGACGGGUGCCAGCCGCCGCGGUAAUACCCGCGGACCCGAGUGGUGCUCAUUAUUAUUGAGCCUAAAGCGUCCGUAGCUGGCCCGGGCCAAAUCUCCGGGGUAAAAUUCGGGCGGGCUUCAACCGUNCCGAAAAACCCGGAGAACACCUGCUCGGCCUUUGCGAUCGGGGUACAGNGGAUGAAGGUUCUCNCCCNGGGUU